RNAcentral lists this long non-coding RNA (2419 nucleotides) under Megachile rotundata (alfalfa leafcutting bee). RNAcentral describes it as "uncharacterized LOC105662777, transcript variant X1". Lineage: Eukaryota; Metazoa; Arthropoda; Insecta; Hymenoptera; Megachilidae. The record is from RNAcentral.
CGUUAGCCGUGUAAAUACGGAAACCCGAAGACCCACAAAGACCGAGGAAUCUACUUUCCAGAACGCGUCUUCCCUUUUAAUUCUUAUUUUAUGGACCUAGAAGGAUACUUAUCGGACUUUCUCUUGAAAAAGUAUUUAACGAGAUAAACAUUUACUGCACCACUCUCGAAGUAGGAAAUUGAUAAUGGAAGACUGGAUGUUUUCAAACGAACAUCCUGGGUUACUUGACUAUCAACUGUAUCGAAUAUAAGAAUGGUCACGUGUGCAGCGUGUGAACGCGUUAAGCACGUUUAGCAACAAAUUGUCACGGCAGUAGAAACGUACCAUAAUCGAUCGUAUACAAAUAGAACUCGUUUGAACGAGGCAAUUCUUGGUCGUGGCGUUAAACGACCGAUGGAAUCGCGGCAGAAAAAUGACCCUAUCUGGUGGUAAUCGUUGUCGACAGACCCGUGAAACUAGGCUCAACUCGCCAUAACAUUCUAACUCGUGGUUUAGUAACUGGAUCGUUGCGUACAGCGUUGCACAAAAGUCUAGCAUCGAUCGCAUUAUUUUUCCUCUUUACAACGCGAACUAUACGAAACCAUUCAUAAAAAGAAUAUUCAUUCGCCGUUUUUACUUCGUUUGCCUCGGAGAAUAUACCGUAACGACGCAUUUAUGUGAAUCGUUCACUUCCAUAAUAACUGUUCUCGUUUCACGUUACAGUUAAAAAUAGAAGAUUAAAAAAGUACCACUGUUACGAACAACUGGAUAUUUAGGGAUAAUAGUGGGUUUAUAAGGAUGGGGAGAUCUAGUGGCUGAGGAUUUACACGAGGGUUGGGAUUUGGAUAUAGAGAUGUAGGGUUUUUAUUGGGGUCUAAAUUUGGGGUCUGAAAAUUUCGAGAUAAUGGCAGCUUUGAGAUCUAGCAAGAUCUCAGGGGAUCUUGUAAUUUCAGUAUCUGGGAAUCUUGAAAUCUAGGGACUUCACAAGCUAAUACAAGGGAUGACAAGAUCUAGGAUCUGUUAUAUUUAUACAUUUCAAAGUUUAUAAACACCUAGUUCUCAUUUUGUAGCUUAAAAAUGUGGAACCUAGAGAUAAAGAGAAUUAAGAAUUUUAAAAUAUCUCAAACAAUAAACAAACAUGUUUGUCGUUUAAAUUUCAUGAAACUAGUUCUAACGCUGCUCCAAAUAAACAGAAAAUAAACCAAAUAAUUAAACCGUUAGAUAAAAGACUAUCAGAAACCAGAACAGAGAAAAAUGAGAUCUAUCAUAGAAGGAUUACACCAGACAGAAGGGGUCUAUCGAGCGAUACAAUAUCAUAGAAGAUAGAUAGCAAGGUCACAUUUACACUGAACUACGUUGCACCUCAAAACUUCCAACGAAUCGAACGUAAAAGUGUCUGCAACGAUACUUUUGUACGGGGUUCGAUUAUCCAACGUACUUCGCAAUGGUUUAUGGACCCACAAACGAUUGGACGGGAUUAUUGUUCUAAUCCCGCUCGUUAAGUUCAACCGUUAGUCGCCAUGUGGAGUGGACUUGAAAGUUAGGUAUAAUACACGCGGGACCCAUGCUCGUUAAACGAGAUGGUUUCUUUGCACUCACUUUACCGACAGGAAAAAGCGAGCUCUUUUCGAACGAAAUUGAGCUUAAAAUAUCCGCGAUUGGUAACAAAAGAAAUUUACGGAACAUCGGCCAAGGUGGGAGAACAUCGUCGAUAUUCGAAAUGUUCAUAAUUUAACAACGGUACCUUAAGAAUCCUGGGAAUUAACGCGAGAACAAUUUGUACAUCGGUUGGGGAAUGCCGAUACCAGAAAUUGUGCAGAUACCGAUGUAAAAGCGUCCCAUAAAAUCUUGCAAAUUCUUUCGCAUCGAGGUUCAACUGAUUGAACACUCGGUCAGAUAUGUACAUAUCUAAAUAUCCUAGAGAUUCCCAAAGUGUGCUGACGUAGAGUUAACUACCAGAUACUAUGGUCUUGGUACUGUAAGGAUUACAACAGGAAGUAUUUAAAAGUAUAUUCUUUUACUGAAAUAUAAUUUCUUCGUUUUAUAAUAUAUGUCCUUAGUUUCAGAAUAUUGUAACAAUUGGCGAAGGAAAUAUUAAAGAAAUAAUUUGACUAGACUGACUGGCUGAACAAUUGGGACUUGAGACAUUUGAUAUGCUGACAACACUUAAUGCUUGUAAAAAUAAGUUCAUAACAAUCUAAUGAAGUAAAUGGAAUUCAAAAGUGGAUCUUCGUCCACAGAAGUUGAAGCAAGUCGUUUAAUUUCCUCCACAACGUUACGAAGGCAGCAGAUGGAUUAGUGUACAAUUGAUGUAUUUGGUCACAAAAUAUUUGCGAAGAAAAAAAGUGCAAUCCGCACUAGUCAAGCAACAUUCUCGGAGCGUUACACUUACGGUGCACGAGAUUCUUCCAGCUGCCAUAAAUCGCCUGGAUGCACUUAU